ACUAUGAAAACCGGUGGAGAGGUUGGAACACAACAAUUGAGGAGCAGAAGUCAGAUUUCGAGAAGUUGCAGGACUUGCUAACUUCAAUGUGCUUCAAAUUGUACAAUAAGAAGGGUGAUAUUGCUGUGUGGCAGAAGGGUUCUGAUGACUCUUGCUAUAAGAAGCUUGAAAGGGUUCUGAUGAAUCUUGCUAUAAGAAGCUUGCUAAUCCUGAUGUCUAUCCACCCAAGUGUGAUGACAGCAUCGAACCAGAUUCGGCUUGGUACACCCCACUCCGACCCUGUGUUGUAGCUCCGGGGCCAAAGAUAAAGAAGUCGGUUCUUGAAUCGAUCCCCAAAUGGCCAGAGAGGUUGCAAGU
This 357-nucleotide long non-coding RNA is filed under the name Linum usitatissimum (flax). RNAcentral's name for it is "long non-coding RNA (LUSI_LNC006609)". Lineage: Eukaryota; Viridiplantae; Streptophyta; Magnoliopsida; Malpighiales; Linaceae. The record is from RNAcentral.